This 630-nucleotide ribosomal RNA is filed under the name uncultured Gammaproteobacteria bacterium. Its description in RNAcentral is "bacterial SSU rRNA". It matches the Rfam family "Bacterial small subunit ribosomal RNA", at positions 51 to 669 of the family's 1533-position model. The record is from RNAcentral. Lineage: Bacteria; Pseudomonadati; Pseudomonadota; Gammaproteobacteria.
UCGACGGCAGCAGACCGUGACAAUCCCUUCGGGGUGCGUUUGGUGCUGGCGAGUGGCGGACGGGUGAGUAACACGUAGGAAUCUGCCCAACAGUGGGGGACAACCCGAGGAAACUCGGGCUAAUACCGCAUACGCCCUACGGGGGAAAGCGGGGGACUUUCGGGCCUCGCGCUGAUGGAUGAGCCUGCGUCGGAUUAGCUUGUUGGUGAGGUAACGGCUCACCAAGGCGACGAUCCGUAGCUGGUCUGAGAGGAUGAUCAGCCACACUGGGACUGAGACACGGCCCAGACUCCUACGGGAGGCAGCAGUGGGGAAUAUUGCACAAUGGGCGAAAGCCUGAUGCAGCCAUACCGCGUGGGUGAAGAAGGCCUUAGGGUUGUAAAGCCCUUUCAGUUGGGAAGAAAAGGUCGGGGUUAAUAUCCCCGGUUCUUGACGGUACCUACAGAAGAAGCACCGGCUAACUCAGUGCCAGCAGCCGCGGUAAUACUGAGGGUGCAAGCGUUAAUCGGAAUUACUGGGCGUAAAGCGCGCGUAGGCGGUCUGGUCAGUCAGGUGUGAAAGCCCCGGGCUUAACCUGGGAACUGCAUUUGAAACUGCCAGACUAGAGUGUGGUAGAGGGAAGUGGAAUUC